RNAcentral lists this ribosomal RNA (531 nucleotides) under uncultured bacterium. RNAcentral describes it as "bacterial SSU rRNA". It matches the Rfam family "Bacterial small subunit ribosomal RNA", at positions 389 to 911 of the family's 1533-position model. The record is from RNAcentral.
CAGCCAUGCCGCGUGAGUGAAGAAGGCCUUCGGGUUGUAAAGCUCUUUCGGCUGGGAAGAAAUCGCACAGGCUAAUACUCUGUGUGGAUGACGGUACCAGCACAAGAAGCACCGGCUAACUACGUGCCAGCAGCCGCGGUAAUACGUAGGGUGCGAGCGUUAAUCGGAAUUACUGGGCGUAAAGCGUGCGCAGGCGGUUGUGCAAGACAGAUGUGAAAUCCCCGGGCUCAACCUGGGAACUGCAUUUGUGACUGCACGACUAGAGUACGGCAGAGGGGGGUAGAAUUCCACGUGUAGCAGUGAAAUGCGUAGAGAUGUGGAGGAAUACCGAUGGCGAAGGCAGCCCCCUGGGCCGAUACUGACGCUCAUGCACGAAAGCGUGGGGAGCAAACAGGAUUAGAUACCCUGGUAGUCCACGCCCUAAACGAUGUCAACUAGUUGUUGGUAGGGUUAAACCUAUUAGUAACGUAGCUAACGCGUGAAGUUGACCGCCUGGGGAGUACGGUCGCAAGAUUAAAACUCAAAGAAAUU